AUAUCUUUAUUCAAAAGAAAUAAUAUUUUCUAAAUAUUGUUUCGUACUUACUUUUCUGUCACAGAUAAACAUGAUGUCAUUCUAGAGGACAUGCUUCCUUUUUUGUGUCUGGAAAACUAGACAGAAUUAUAUGUAGUUAGGUCAAGAAUUGAUCGAUCUUUUCUCUCGAGAUAUAGGGCAUUCAUAAAAACGUCCCAGGCCCAAACAUGAUGUCAUAUAGAAGACUAAUUCACACACCUACAGCAUAAUGUAUGUUCUAUGGUCUUAAAUGUUUAUUAAGGUCACUCCGAAGUGUGGCUUAGGACUAACGACAAUGAAAAUUUGGGGAUCAAACGCCUACAUGUAAGGAUGACAAAUAGUGGGAGGUGGCUGUCAGAAAAUGAUGGGAUUUCCUUCAGGGCUCUGUCCCAGAAAAUCAUCAUCUCUACAAGAAGAGCCCCCCAGGGGACUGAGACCUCAAGGAGCCUCAAGAGCUUCCAGAGGAAGGACUAGAAAGAGGACAUCCAGAAAGAAGAAAGAGCUGGGCACAGGGGAAGAGGUGCCACAGCUCAUUACACACCCAGGGAAUCACAGCAUCCCCAAAUGGAAGGGCAAACUGGCCCCACCUCCAUCGCUAUCACUGUACUUUAGAAAUACACCUCCCAGCCAUGUCAAGCUGUUGGCUUUGUCCCACGUGUCCUCAC
Molecule: long non-coding RNA, 683 nt
Filed under: Fukomys damarensis (Damara mole-rat)
Lineage: Eukaryota; Metazoa; Chordata; Mammalia; Rodentia; Bathyergidae
Description: lncRNA (ENSFDAG00000033123.1)
Source: RNAcentral